RNAcentral lists this ribosomal RNA (391 nucleotides) under Stramenopiles sp. MAST-4E. RNAcentral's name for it is "partial small subunit ribosomal RNA". It matches the Rfam family "Eukaryotic small subunit ribosomal RNA", at positions 582 to 975 of the family's 1831-position model. The record is from RNAcentral.
AUUCCAGCUCCAAUAGCGUAUAUUAAAGUUGUUGCGGUUAAAAAGCUCGUAGUUGGAUUUCUGGUUGAAGCGACCGGUCGGGCGUUGAUUCGUCUGCACUGGAGUCGGUUUUGGCCAUCCUCUAGGAAAGUGCGUCUGGUAUUAAGUUGUCGGGCGUAUGAUCCUGGUCUUUUACUGUGAAAAAAUUAGAGUGUUUAAAGCAGGCCUUCGCCUUGAAUACAUUAGCAUGGAAUAAUAAGAUAGGACUUUGGUCUAUUUUGGUGGUUUGCAGACCGAAGUAAUGAUUAAUAGGGAUAGUUGGGGGUAUUUAUAUUCCGAUGUCAGAGGUGUAAUUCUUAGAUUUUCGGAAGAUAAACUUAUGCGAAAGCAUUUACCAAGGAUGUUUUCAUCG